RNAcentral lists this ribosomal RNA (439 nucleotides) under uncultured bacterium. Its description in RNAcentral is "partial 16S ribosomal RNA". It matches the Rfam family "Bacterial small subunit ribosomal RNA", at positions 339 to 795 of the family's 1533-position model. The record is from RNAcentral.
CUACGGGCGGCUCCAGUGAGGAAUAUUGCACAAUGGGGGGAACCCUGAUGCAGCAACGCCGCGUGGAGGAUGACGCAUUUCGGUGUGUAAACUCCUUUUAUAUGUCAAGAAAAUGACGGUAGCAUAUGAAUAAGCACCGGCUAACUCCGUGCCAGCAGCCGCGGUAAUACGGAGGGUGCAAGCGUUACUCGGAAUCACUGGGCGUAAAGGACGCGUAGGCGGGUUGGAAAGUCAGGUGUGAAAUCCUACAGCUUAACUGUAGAACUGCACUUGAAACUACGAGCCUAGAGUAUGGGAGGGGCAGAUGGAAUUAGUGGUGUAGGGGUAAAAUCCGUAGAUAUCACUAGGAAUACCUAAAGCGAAGGCGAUCUGCUGGAACAUAACUGACGCUAAGGCGUGAAAGCGUGGGGAGCAAACAGGAUUAGAUACCCGCGUAGUC